UCAAAACACAACAAGGCUCCAGUGCCAGAGCUGUUCGACCUCUAUGGCAUGUCCAAUAUUGCACCAUACAAGAAGGCCAAGGCAUUCUCUGAGUCUGACCUCGAAAAUGCAAAGAACUUCAGCAACAAGAUGGUGCAGUACGUUAAGCAGGGGAAGGCGAGGAAAGGGCCGGACUUUAACCCGAGCCGGCCUCUUGAUCCAGAGCUGGUGAUGAUAUCUGGUGGCGGGAGGUCCCAUGGCUCGUUAGCCAUUGGUAAUGGACUGAUACGUUGUAGUAGCACUCUCCCGCAGAUCAAGAAGCGCCAGACCAGCUCUGAUCCUGAGAUACUGCCUCGUUUACGACCAGUGGAAAUCGAAUUCCAGGCUGCUAUUGAGGCAGAGAGAGUGAAGACCCAGGCUGCUUUUGAGGAGAGGGACCGGAAGUUGGCGGAGAGGGAGCGGCAGGCGGCGGAGAGGGACAGGGAGAAUGAGGAGAGGACGGCUAGGCUGUUGGAGGAGGAGAGGAACCGGAACAACUCGGCUAACCGGGCCAUGUACGAGCUCUUCGUG
This 549-nucleotide ribosomal RNA is filed under the name Triticum aestivum (bread wheat). RNAcentral describes it as "partial small subunit ribosomal RNA". Lineage: Eukaryota; Viridiplantae; Streptophyta; Magnoliopsida; Poales; Poaceae. The record is from RNAcentral.